RNAcentral lists this long non-coding RNA (273 nucleotides) under Mytilus galloprovincialis (Mediterranean mussel). Lineage: Eukaryota; Metazoa; Mollusca; Bivalvia; Mytilida; Mytilidae. The record is from RNAcentral.
GACAAAAGUCAAUAAUUUUCUUCAGUUUUACCGGUUUAAGGAACUUAAGACAACAUUAAAACAUGAGGGAAAAUACAAAAACUAUGACCUCUUGUGUUUUAGAAAUUGAAAUUUAAGUUAAGUUAAGUUAUUUAAUAUUAAGUUAAGUUAUUUAAUAUUAUAUAAAUCAACCGUCGUUGCACGGGAUUCGAACCGUUGCCCGAUCUGAUUGCAUUGAUAUCAGCAUCGUAAGCGAGAGCCUUAUCCCCACUGCUACCGGGGUUAGCAUUAUCA